This 207-nucleotide unclassified non-coding RNA is filed under the name plant metagenome. RNAcentral describes it as "partial contains small subunit ribosomal RNA and internal transcribed spacer 1". The stretch from base 1 to 46 matches the Rfam family "Eukaryotic small subunit ribosomal RNA", at positions 1786 to 1831 of the family's 1831-position model. The record is from RNAcentral.
AAGUCGUAACAAGGUUUCCGUAGGUGAACCUGCGGAAGGAUCAUUACUGCUUGCUCACAGCGUCUUUCUGGGAAACCAGGCUGACGUUGGGCAUGUCACCCUUGUCUAUUGCACCUUUGUUCAUGUCCCUCGGCAGGGCAACCUGCCGCUAGGGUUCAACAAACUCUUUUACAAAGCAAUUACUUCUGGCAACUAAAAUAAUCACAA